CUCCGCCCUGCCGGAACUCCAACGAUUGGCCCGGCAAAGAAUGGAGCACUACGGCUUGCUCAACGUAAUCACGGAGCCCGAUGAACUGAACGCCACUGUGGAAGCCAUGAGGCCAGUUUUAAAAGCACUCAAGGAAAUACAAAGCAAUGACCCCAAUAGGAAGACCGUGAUCGCGAUUGGUUCGCUCAACUACAAGUCGGGUGGUUUUGACCGCGACUACAAGCAGAUAAUAAAGAAUGUCGUCAAGUAAGCCCG
Long non-coding RNA from Rhipicephalus microplus (southern cattle tick), 255 nucleotides. Lineage: Eukaryota; Metazoa; Arthropoda; Arachnida; Ixodida; Ixodidae. The record is from RefSeq and is a predicted model, not a curated record.